AAUAAACUUUGGUUUAUACCGAAGACAGCAGGAGCAAAAUUUGCUUAAAUAUCCUGCCGAGGUUGAAGCCUGAAGCCAUAAAAUCCAGAAAAAUAGUAGGUUUUGCUUGCUAUUUUUAUGAUGGGAUU
Cyanothece sp. is the source of this 128-nucleotide non-coding RNA. The record is from Rfam. NCBI's taxonomy places the organism in Bacteria, Bacillati, Cyanobacteriota, Cyanophyceae, Gomontiellales, Cyanothecaceae.